AGAGUUUGAUCAUGGCUCAGAUUGAACGCUGGCGGCAGGCCUAACACAUGCAAGUCGAGCGGUAGCACAGAGAGCUUGCUCUCGGGUGACGAGCGGCGGACGGGUGAGUAAUGUCUGGGAAACUGCCUGAUGGAGGGGGAUAACUACUGGAAACGGUAGCUAAUACCGCAUAAUGUCGCAAGACCAAAGUGGGGGACCUUCGGGCCUCAUGCCAUCAGAUGUGCCCAGAUGGGAUUAGCUAGUAGGUGGGGUAACGGCUCACCUAGGCGACGAUCCCUAGCUGGUCUGAGAGGAUGACCAGCCACACUGGAACUGAGACACGGUCCAGACUCCUACGGGAGGCAGCAGUGGGGAAUAUUGCACAAUGGGCGCAAGCCUGAUGCAGCCAUGCCGCGUGUGUGAAGAAGGCCUUCGGGUUGUAAAGCACUUUCAGCGGGGAGGAAGGCGNNNNNNNNNNNNNNNNNNNNNNCGAUUGACGUUACCCGCAGAAGAAGCACCGGCUAACUCCGUGCCAGCAGCCGCGGUAAUACGGAGGGUGCAAGCGUUAAUCGGAAUUACUGGGCGUAAAGCGCACGCAGGCGGUCUGUCAAGUCGGAUGUGAAAUCCCCGGGCUCAACCUGGGAACUGCAUUCGAAACUGGCAGGCUAGAGUCUUGUAGAGGGGGGUAGAAUUCCAGGUGUAGCGGUGAAAUGCGUAGAGAUCUGGAGGAAUACCGGUGGCGAAGGCGGCCCCCUGGACAAAGACUGACGCUCAGGUGCGAAAGCGUGGGGAGCAAACAGGAUUAGAUACCCUGGUAGUCCACGCCGUAAACGAUGUCGAUUUGGAGGUUGUGCCCUUGAGGCGUGGCUUCCGGAGCUAACGCGUUAAAUCGACCGCCUGGGGAGUACGGCCGCAAGGUUAAAACUCAAAUGAAUUGACGGGGGCCCGCACAAGCGGUGGAGCAUGUGGUUUAAUUCGAUGCAACGCGAAGAACCUUACCUGGUCUUGACAUCCACAGAACUUUCCAGAGAUGGAUUGGUGCCUUCGGGAACUGUGAGACAGGUGCUGCAUGGCUGUCGUCAGCUCGUGUUGUGAAAUGUUGGGUUAAGUCCCGCAACGAGCGCAACCCUUAUCCUUUGUUGCCAGCGGUCCGGCCGGGAACUCAAAGGAGACUGCCAGUGAUAAACUGGAGGAAGGUGGGGAUGACGUCAAGUCAUCAUGGCCCUUACGACCAGGGCUACACACGUGCUACAAUGGCAUAUACAAAGAGAAGCGACCUCGCGAGAGCAAGCGGACCUCAUAAAGUAUGUCGUAGUCCGGAUUGGAGUCUGCAACUCGACUCCAUGAAGUCGGAAUCGCUAGUAAUCGUAGAUCAGAAUGCUACGGUGAAUACGUUCCCGGGCCUUGUACACACCGCCCGUCACACCAUGGGAGUGGGUUGCAAAAGAAGUAGGUAGCUUAACCUUCGGGAGGGCGCUUACCACUUUGUGAUUCAUGACUGGGGUGAAGUCGUAACAAGGUAACCGUAGGGGAACCUGCGGUUGGAUCACCU
This 1531-nucleotide ribosomal RNA is filed under the name Klebsiella pneumoniae. RNAcentral's name for it is "bacterial SSU rRNA". It matches the Rfam family "Bacterial small subunit ribosomal RNA". Lineage: Bacteria; Pseudomonadati; Pseudomonadota; Gammaproteobacteria; Enterobacterales; Enterobacteriaceae. The record is from RNAcentral.